This is a long non-coding RNA of Vollenhovia emeryi, 618 nucleotides long. RefSeq lists it as uncharacterized. Lineage: Eukaryota; Metazoa; Arthropoda; Insecta; Hymenoptera; Formicidae. The record is from RefSeq and is a predicted model, not a curated record. The transcript has 2 exons.
UCAGUUAUUAGCAUUUUGAUGUUGCAAGCGCUCAACGUCGAACAAGAAGGAAAGAAACCUGACGCCAAACCGUCUGAUCUCGUCUACCCAAUUUGAAAUUCGAGAAAGUGAUCGGGAGAUUGAAUAUCGUCUGCAAUAAUGGCACCCGCCCGUUUCAUUCUACUGAUUCUCGUGUCGAUAAUAUUAGUAUUUGGGUGCGAGGGAUGGCCGCUGACUUUCCCUGCGAGGAACCGGGUAAAGUGUCCGACGGGCUAUAGACCCGUCCGUACCGGAGGCUGCAGAAGGGUUGUAGCAACUUAAGAUACGACACCCUCCCUUACGCAAGAAUGUGGCACAAACAAUGUCGCAGGAUAUUUUUCCCCGGAAAUGUCAUACUGGCAAAGGAAACGAUAACGCUUUUGUUUCUGGUAUCAUCACGAUCGUAUCUUUUAACUUCGAACCUAUCAGUAAAAGAUGGAUUGAACGUACACGAAAAUGAUCGCUUUGACAAAAAUUGGCAAUCAUGAAUUAUCAGAAGUCCAGCGCUUUUGUAAUUAAUAUGCAGAACGUAAAUAUUGCAUACCACCGUAUAAAUAUACAACAUUAAUAAAUAAUAAUGAAAUAAAUAAAAUAAAUCAA